RNAcentral lists this unclassified non-coding RNA (247 nucleotides) under Ascomycota sp. RNAcentral describes it as "partial contains small subunit ribosomal RNA, internal transcribed spacer 1, and 5.8S ribosomal RNA". The stretch from base 1 to 47 matches the Rfam family "Eukaryotic small subunit ribosomal RNA", at positions 1785 to 1831 of the family's 1831-position model. The record is from RNAcentral. Lineage: Eukaryota; Fungi; Ascomycota.
AAAGUCGUAACAAGGUUUCCGUAGGUGAACCUGCGGAAGGAUCAUUAUCAUGUAAUCCAGUCAUGCCGCUGCGUGAGCUGUAUACACCCACCCUGCGUACGCUGUCCUGUUGCUUCCGCCGGGCGUACAUAAUUGUGCAAGCCCGGCGGAAGGGAAAAAAUAACCUCCGAGUUUAACUACGGAAUCUGUCUGAAUGAAUCGGAACAAAGAAACGUUAAAACUUUCAGCAACGGAUCUCUUGGUUCUC